CCAAGAUACACUAAUGGGGAACAGAUUUGCCUUCCUGCAUAAAACAACCCAAAGCCAGAAAAUAUGUAUGAAACAAUGGUUUUCAAGACCCUGGACAUCAGCCAUAGAGAAGGGAAACAAAUGAGGCGAGCCCUGUGAUUGCGUCAGCUGAUUGCCUUGAGAGUUUCCAGGCCGUGGUGCAAGGACAGAAAAGUCAGGCAGAGCUCAGACUCUCUGAGUCAAGGAAACGGAGCUGAGACCUGGAAGACCAAGGUGGCAACAGACUGCAGGACGGGGUACCGGAGGGGAGAGCGCUACACGGAGAAAGAACAGAGAUCUGCAGAGGGUCACCCUCCAUCAUUCAGCAGAGUACCGAUCAGCUGUGUGAGGAAACUGCCUGAGGCAGGGGGAAAAAACCACUCAGAAUCAUUAGAACUGCAUUUCUCAACCUUUUUAAGAUUGUCAGCCCCCUAUGGAGUCAGAUGCUUGCUCUUGGGAUCCAGGCACCAUGCUGCAUGGAAGCCCAGGCCACAUGAAAAGGCCACUGGUAGGUGUUCCAGCUGACAGCCUAAGCUAAGGUCUCAGCAUCUCAGCAGACAUCUAAGUGACCCAACCUUCAGAAGAUUCCAGCCCCCAGCCUUUGAGUCUUCCACCUGAGGCCCCAGACAACAGAGGUGCCAGUGACAAACCAUCCCCACCAUGUUCUGUCUGCAUUCCUGACCCACACCACCCAUAA
This 715-nucleotide long non-coding RNA is filed under the name Equus asinus (donkey). RNAcentral describes it as "lncRNA (ENSEASG00005030233.1)". Lineage: Eukaryota; Metazoa; Chordata; Mammalia; Perissodactyla; Equidae. The record is from RNAcentral.